This 636-nucleotide ribosomal RNA is filed under the name uncultured bacterium. RNAcentral's name for it is "bacterial SSU rRNA". The stretch from base 1 to 546 matches the Rfam family "Bacterial small subunit ribosomal RNA", at positions 338 to 873 of the family's 1533-position model. The record is from RNAcentral.
CCUACGGGAGGCAGCAGUGGGGAAUUUUGGACAAUGGGGGCAACCCUGAUCCAGCCAUUCCGCGUGAGUGAAGAAGGCCUUCGGGUUGUAAAGCUCUUUCGCAAGGGAAGAAAACUUAUGAUCGAAUAAAUCAUGAGGUUGACGGUACCUUGAUAAGAAGCACCGGCUAACUACGUGCCAGCAGCCGCGGUAAUACGUAGGGUGCGAGCGUUAAUCGGAAUUACUGGGCGUAAAGCGUGCGCAGGCGGUUUUGUAAGUCGGAUGUGAAAUCCCCGGGCUCAACCUGGGAACUGCGUUCGAAACUGCAAGGCUAGAGUGUGUCAGAGGGGGGUAGAAUUCCACGUGUAGCAGUGAAAUGCGUAGAGAUGUGGAGGAAUACCAAUGGCGAAGGCAGCCCCCUGGGAUAACACUGACGCUCAUGCACGAAAGCGUGGGGAGCAAACAGGAUUAGAUACCCUGGUAGUCCACGCCCUAAACGAUGUCAACUAGUUGUUGGUAGAGUAAAACUCUAUGAGUAACCGUAGCUAACGCGUGAAGUUGACCGCCUGGGGGAGGUACGGUCGCGAAGUAAGUUAAACGUUAAAAGUUAAAGUUAGUUAGGCGUGAGAGNGCGACGGACGACGACGAGGGAGGAGG